GCGAUAAUGACGGUACCUGCAGAAGAAGCACCGGCUAACUACGUGCCAGCAGCCGCGGUAAUACGUAGGGUGCAAGCGUUAUUCGGAAUUACUGGGCGUAAAGCGUGCGUAGGCGGUUUUUCAAGUCAGGUGUGAAAUCCCCGGGCUCAACUCGGGAACUGCAUUUGAUACUGCCAGGCUAGAGUUCGGCAGAGGAGAGUGGAAUUCCUGGUGUAGCGGUGAAAUGCGUAGAUAUCAGGAGGAACACCGGUGGCGAAGGC
This 260-nucleotide ribosomal RNA is filed under the name uncultured bacterium. RNAcentral describes it as "partial 16S ribosomal RNA". It matches the Rfam family "Bacterial small subunit ribosomal RNA", at positions 463 to 722 of the family's 1533-position model. The record is from RNAcentral.